This 467-nucleotide ribosomal RNA is filed under the name uncultured bacterium. Its description in RNAcentral is "partial 16S ribosomal RNA". It matches the Rfam family "Bacterial small subunit ribosomal RNA", at positions 28 to 506 of the family's 1533-position model. The record is from RNAcentral.
GACGAACGCUGGCGGCGUGCUUAACACAUGCAAGUCGAACGGAAAGGCCCUGCUUUUGUGGGGUGCUCGAGUGGCGAACGGGUGAGUAACACGUGAGUAACCUGCCCUUGACUUUGGGAUAACUUCAGGAAACUGGGGCUAAUACCGGAUAGGAGCUCCUGCUGCAUGGUGGGGGUUGGAAAGUUUCGGCGGUUGGGGAUGGACUCGCGGCGUAUCAGCUUGUUGGUGGGGUAGUGGCUUACCAAGGCUUUGACGGGUAGCCGGCCUGAGAGGGUGACCGGCCACAUUGGGACUGAGAUACGGCCCAGACUCCUACGGGAGGCAGCAGUGGGGAAUAUUGCACAAUGGGCGGAAGCCUGAUGCAGCAACGCCGCGUGCGGGAUGACGGCCUUCGGGUUGUAAACCGCUUUCGCCUGUGACGAAGCGUGAGUGACGGUAAUGGGUAAAGAAGCACCGGCUAACUACGU